This 163-nucleotide ribosomal RNA is filed under the name uncultured bacterium. RNAcentral describes it as "partial 16S ribosomal RNA". The record is from RNAcentral.
CCCUACCGGAGGCAGCAGUGGGGAAUUUGGACAAUGGGGGCAAGCCUGAUCCAGAACAACCGCGCAAGCAAGAAGCCGCCAGGCCGGUAAAGUUCUGUAUCCGUGAAUGUCACCCCUCCUCUCUCGACGCGAUGACGUACUGCAGAUAGCAUCGCUAGCUACG